This is a non-coding RNA of Pelobates cultripes (western spadefoot toad), 381 nucleotides long. The record is from the annotation of a GenBank genome assembly. Lineage: Eukaryota; Metazoa; Chordata; Amphibia; Anura; Pelobatidae.
AAACACAAUCAAAAUAUUGAUCAAACUAAUAGAUCAAACAUUAUGUUAAGGAAUAUUAUGGUAAUUCAAGAACAGAACAAGAAAAAGUCCAAUGUGUAUUAAGGUAAUACAAAAAUAUCUGGUGUCUUAAGGUCCUUUGAUUUUUUGCAAAAAUAGCCAAGUGUGGGUGGGUUUACAGAAUUUUACUAGAUGAGCUAUUUUAGCCUUAGUUUUGCAAUUUGGAUUUAAUUUGUGAAAAUUUUAAUGAGACAUUCAGUUGAGGACAAUAUCACAAUUACAGCCCGUGUUGUAAAAUAGUAAUUAAUACUGAAUAGCAGCAGACAAAUGUUCAUAGGGGUGAUGUUCAAGAUCAUUAAGGUGUGAAAUAUGAAUGAAAUUCAC